AGUGAACGCUGGCGGUAGGCCUAACACAUGCAAGUCGAACGGCAGCACAGUAAGAGCUUGCUCUUACGGGUGGCGAGUGGCGGACGGGUGAGGAAUACAUCGGAAUCUACUUUUUCGUGGGGGAUAACGUAGGGAAACUUACGCUAAUACCGCAUACGACCUACGGGUGAAAGCAGGGGAUCUUCGGACCUUGCGCGAUUGAAUGAGCCGAUGUCUGAUUAGCUAGUUGGCGGGGUAAAGGCCCACCAAGGCGACGAUCCGUAGCUGGUCUGAGAGGAUGAUCAGCCACACUGGAACUGAGACACGGUCCAGACUCCUACGGGAGGCAGCAGUGGGGAAUAUUGGACAAUGGGCGCAAGCCUGAUCCAGCCAUACCGCGUGGGUGAAGAAGGCCUUCGGGUUGUAAGGCCCUUUUGUUGGGAAAGAAAAGCAGCAGGUUAAUACCCCGCUGUUCUGACGGUACCCAAAGAAUAAGCACCGGCUAACUUCGUG
Molecule: ribosomal RNA, 492 nt
Filed under: uncultured bacterium
Lineage: Bacteria
Description: partial 16S ribosomal RNA
Rfam family: Bacterial small subunit ribosomal RNA
Source: RNAcentral